AUGGGUGAUAUCGACAGCCUACGGAAUACUCUUGUGAACAUACUAUUGGAUCCAACUGUGGAGGCCAAACAGCUACCACUUUCACUUUUUGAGAAUAUCACUGAUAAUUUCUCAGAUGAACGUGUUGUGGGAAGAGGAGGGUUUGGUACCGUUUACAAGGGGUUUCUUCCAAAUGACAGAGUGGUCGCUGUUAAGAGGCUUAAGAUUAAUCGACGGGUUGUUGAUGAUAAGUCAUUUUAUGCUGAGGUUGCUAGUAUGAAGAUGCUGAGAAACAAGAACGUUGUACGGCUGCUAGGCUACUGCAUUCACAUGGAGGAAAAAGAAAUCUUAUAUGAUGGGGAAAAAAUUGUUGCAGAAAAGCGAGAAAGGCUGCUCUGCAUGGAGUUUGUACCCCACGGGCCCGUAAAAAAGGGUGGUCCACCCGGUGGAGCAGAAUGGCCUGACCGCCAUCAGAUAAUAAAGGGGAUCUGUAAUGGUUUAGAUUACAUUCACAGCAAAGGGUUUAUUCAUUUGGACUUGAAACCCGACAAUAUACUGUUGGACAAGGGCAUGGUACCGAAGAUCGCAGAUUUUGGUAUCUCACGGUUCUUUGAUGAUGAAAACACGUCCAGUACCCUCAGCUUUGUUGGAACAAGGGGAUACACGGCCCCAGAGUACAUCGACGAUGGCCUUGUGUCAAACAAGGCUGACAUAUACAGUCUUGGGACUGUAAUAUUUGAACUUCUGACAGAUUUUAAAGGCCCUAAGCUUUACCAAAAGGCACAAGAGGACAAUGAAAGUUUCGUACAACAGGAAUUAGAAAAGUGGACUGAGGCAUUGAGAAGAACUCACCAAGGGUGUGCACUUGAGUUUGCUACCAAAGAGGUGGAAACAUGCCUUAGGAUUGCAUUGAACUGUAAGGACCACAAUCGGCAUCGCAGGCGUACGGCAAAGCAAAUAUCACAAAUUCUUGAUCUGGAAGCUGUGCAUGUAGAGAACUUCAGUUCACUGCAAGACAUGGAUUUGCAUCCAAGUCAACCUUGGAUUCUGUUAAGUCUCUUGUCCGGGUACAUUGUAAUGUUAAACUACGACACCAAGGUAACUCUGGCACCGUUUAAACUGAGCGACAAGCCAGUUCAUUCAGCUAAAUUUGUGGAAGGGAACCGCGAUUGGAAUAUUGUGGCCGGUGACGAUCAUGGGGUCCUGUAUGUGUGCAACUUCGAUUGGAUUGAAGAGGGGCUCGUGAAGGUUAAAACUGUCGUUGCUAGUGAGGGUAAGGGUAUCAUAUCUCUGGCAGUCAAUCCAUCCCAGCGUUAUGUGUUACUAUCUACUGGAUCCACCAUUAUGAUCCGGAACACAGAGGACUGGACGUGUAUGUAUGAAGGGCCAAGCUACUUCAGAACAGUGACUCAUGCCUCUUUUAACACUGACAAGGAUGAAUCAUUUGGUGUUGGUUUCUGUGAUGGAUCAGUAAAGCUGUGGAGUCAUGAUCCUCUGACAGCUUCAGCAGGCAAUCAGGAGCCUUACGUUGUGGUGCGUGGUCAUUCAGAGCAAGUAUGCUCAGUCGAUUACUUCAUCGGCAAUUCUGAAGGACUUCACUCUCCUGCAAGGUUUCUAGUUACUGGAUCUAUGGAUAAGACUGCCAAGGUGUGGAAGUACGAUGAUAAGCCCAAGGAUUAUCUUGGGGUUGCAUCUGUUACAGAACCAGAAGCCACGCUUAAACAUGCCGGCGGUGUAACUGCGACCUGCUAUGUCCCCGAGUUGAAAAUCAUAUUAAGUGGAACAGAUAACGGAGUUGUCACGGUGUGGUGCGCAGUAACAUACAGCUGGAAGAGGUACCUAUGCUUUGGUCUCGGGCGAGUUCACAGUCUAGCAUGUUCAACUGGAGGAAGGAUAUUCAUCGGACAUGAGCAUGGACUGGUACUGGUAGAUAUUGGUCUGCAACAGCUUUGA
RNAcentral lists this ribosomal RNA (1932 nucleotides) under Triticum aestivum (bread wheat). Its description in RNAcentral is "partial small subunit ribosomal RNA". Lineage: Eukaryota; Viridiplantae; Streptophyta; Magnoliopsida; Poales; Poaceae. The record is from RNAcentral.